UCGAUGAUGGUGCCGAGCGUCAGCACAUACGCGCCCGCCACGCAGCGGCGCGGCCAGCCUUCAAUCAGUCAAGUCACACCAGGGCGUCGCAAAGCCUGCGCGCCACACGAUCGG
RNAcentral lists this small RNA (114 nucleotides) under Xanthomonas campestris pv. campestris. Its description in RNAcentral is "ncRNA of unknown function". The record is from RNAcentral. Lineage: Bacteria; Pseudomonadati; Pseudomonadota; Gammaproteobacteria; Lysobacterales; Lysobacteraceae.